This is a long non-coding RNA of Homo sapiens (human), 1329 nucleotides long. Ensembl annotates it as long intergenic non-protein coding RNA 454. NCBI's taxonomy places the organism in Eukaryota, Metazoa, Chordata, Mammalia, Primates, Hominidae. The record is from Ensembl.
UGAGGGGACGCACGCGGGGACGCUGGGGGACGUGGGGGCGCCGAGGGACUUGGAGGGCGCCGAGGGACGUGGGGGCGCUGAGGGACGUUGGGGGUGCUGAGGGGACGCCCGCAGGGGCCGCUGAGGGACGUGGGAGUGUUGAGACACAGACACAGGAAGCAUCAACUCUGAGGCUUUGGCCAGGAUGUGAGCCCGACUUUCGCAGCCCCAACUGGCAGGCUGACCUCAUGUGAACUCCCUGGCGAUGGCAUCCUGGAGACACCCACAUGGCUGAGCUGGCACCAUAGGUGAGGCCACUUCCUGCGAAGGUAGCUGGAUGCUCCUGCCUGGAGCUGCCCCCGGACCACAGAGCAUCCAGGAGAUGAAUGCACUUCCAGCCCCGCCACCCUGGGGAGAUAUACAGCUGAGGUGGCAGCUUUGGAGCAAGCAGGGCAGAGAUGCUUCCCCCUGAGGUCCCUCCCAGCUCUGCUACCUUGUCACUCAAGCACUCAUAAUCCAGGUUCAGUUUCUGCCAGCACUAAUUUGGUUUAUUCCACAUGGCUGGAGCCACUGCGGGACUCCAUUUGUUCCGGGGCCACCUUCCUGUCACCUUUUACUGUUUCUUGAGUCAGCAAGAAAGGCAGAUCCGACUGAAGACUCCAGCACUCUCCUCAGCUGCAGCCCCCACAGAGCUCCGCGAAGUCCUUUCUCCCACAGGACAGAUCUGAGGCACCCACCAUUAGAAGAAAGGAGUGGAGAAAUGAUAUGCAGGAAGAAGGCCCAUUCUGAUUCACCAAUCGCAUGGACGCACUUUCCUACCAGGCUAGGAGGGAGGAAAGUAGAGCCCCACCCUGACUGCUAAGCCGUUUGCUUUGGUGUCAUGAAAAAAGAGUUCAGCUUCCCAAAUCAGAGAGGAAAAGGUUUUCAAGGGGUCCCCUAUUUCUAUUAUGUAAGCUUUAAAUGACAAAGUGGACCUCUGGGGCCAACGUGGGUGUGUGAUGGUGGUUUUGUGGGAUUCUCCCCAUAGCCCCAUCAGACGGCCUCACCUUCUGGGUCUCAGUGGCCCCAGGUGCAACACGGCUCCUCCAGAAAUGAUGACAGCCCUGGCGACCAAGGACUCCCUGUGCCACUGGGUUUGCGCUCAGAAGUAUAUUCAAUGAUUUCCCCAGAAAAUUCCAAGUCAUCUCCUAAUACUGUUUGUGAAAACUAAAUGAACUGUCGUGGUCUUCUUCAGGGACAGUUUGCUAGGAAGGGUGGUUAUUGGCAUAAUUUUCCAAAUCAAUGAACUAAGUUACAAAACUUUCUCAAAGACCCUGAUGGCUGUUACAAAGACAGAAAAGUGAAUGGUCA